GGCUUUCUUCGCGGCGGAGCUCGACCGCCCACAGCGCUGAUCGUGGACUACAUCGACGAACACAAGCACGAGUUCGGUGUCGAGCCGAUCUGCGCCACGCUGUCCGCGGCAGGCACACAGAUCGCACCG
Dermacoccus nishinomiyaensis is the source of this 129-nucleotide regulatory RNA element. It matches the Rfam family "ALIL pseudoknot". NCBI's taxonomy places the organism in Bacteria, Bacillati, Actinomycetota, Actinomycetes, Micrococcales, Dermacoccaceae. The record is from Rfam.